AGCCUUCUGAAUCCAUGCUGAGAUUUUAUCAGCCACUAGAUUAUUAGGACUGAUCAUACUCCAAAGAUAAGUGAAGCG
Molecule: non-coding RNA, 78 nt
Organism: Schistosoma haematobium
Lineage: Eukaryota; Metazoa; Platyhelminthes; Trematoda; Strigeidida; Schistosomatidae
Source: Rfam